Non-coding RNA from Pelobates cultripes (western spadefoot toad), 244 nucleotides. Lineage: Eukaryota; Metazoa; Chordata; Amphibia; Anura; Pelobatidae. The record is from the annotation of a GenBank genome assembly.
UGGGAGGCUGUGGUUGCUGCUGCACGCAAUGUUGAUGGUGAACAGAUCAAAACACUGACAGAAUCCAUGGCAGGCUUUUGAGUGUCCUUGCAAAGAAAGGUGGCUAUAUUGGUCACUGAUUUGUUUUUGUUUUGUUUUUGAAUGUCAGAAAUGUAUAUUUGUGAAUGUUGAGAUGUUAUAUUGGUUUCACUGGUAAUAAUAAAUAAUUGAAAUGGGUAUAUAUUUGUUUUUUGUUAAGUUGCCU